GAUGAACGCUGGCGGCGUGCCUAAUACAUGCAAGUCGAGCGAACGGACGAGAAGCUUGCUUCUCUGAUGUUAGCGGCGGACGGGUGAGUAACACGUGGAUAACCUACCUAUAAGACUGGGAUAACUUCGGGAAACCGGAGCUAAUACCGGAUAAUAUUUUGAACCGCAUGGUUCAAAAGUGAAAGACGGUCUUGCUGUCACUUAUAGAUGGAUCCGCGCUGCAUUAGCUAGUUGGUAAGGUAACGGCUUACCAAGGCAACGAUGCAUAGCCGACCUGAGAGGUGGACCGCCCACACGGGACCUGAGAAACGGCCAAGCCUCCACCGGGAGGAAGCAGUAGGGAAUCUCCCGCAAGGGGCGAAAGCCGGACGGAGCAACGCCGCGGGAGUGAGGAAGUUCUUCGGAUCGUAAAACUCUGUUAUUAGGGAAGAAAAUAUGUGUAAGAACUUGGGCACAUCUUGACGGUACCUAAUCAGAAAGCCACGCCUAACUACGGG
Molecule: ribosomal RNA, 497 nt
Filed under: uncultured bacterium
Lineage: Bacteria
Description: partial 16S ribosomal RNA
Rfam family: Bacterial small subunit ribosomal RNA
Source: RNAcentral